UAGGGAAUCUUCCACAAUGGACGCAAGUCUGAUGGAGCAACGCCGCGUGAGUGAAGAAGGUUUCCGGACCGUAAAGCUCUGUUGUUGGUGAAGAAGGAUAGAGGUAGUAACUGGCCUUUAUUUGACGGUAAUCAACCAGAAAGUCACGGCUAACUACGUGCCAGCAGCCGCGGUAAUACGUAGGUGGCAAGCGUUGUCCGGAUUUAUUGGGCGUAAAGCGAGCGCAGGCGGAAGAAUAAGUCUGAUGUGAAAGCCCUCGGCUUAACCGAGGAAUUGCAUCGGAAACUGUUUUCUUGAGUGCAGAAGAGGAGAGUAGAACUCCAUGUGUAGCGGUGGAAUGCGUAGAUAUAUGGAAGAAUACCAGUGGCGAAGGCGGCUCUCUGGUCUGCAACUGACGCUGAGGCUCGAAAGCAUGGGUAGCGAACGAGGAUUAGAUACCCUGGUAGUCCAUGCCGUAAACGAUGAGUGCUAAGUGUUGGGAGGCUUCCGCCUCUCAGUGCUGCAGCUAACGCAUUAAGCACUCCGCCUGGGGGAGUACGACCGCAAGGUUGAAAC
Molecule: ribosomal RNA, 555 nt
Filed under: uncultured bacterium
Lineage: Bacteria
Description: partial 16S ribosomal RNA
Rfam family: Bacterial small subunit ribosomal RNA
Source: RNAcentral